UACGGAGGGUGCAAGCGUUAUCCGGAUUCACUGGGUUUAAAGGGUGCGUAGGUGGAUUGGUAAGUCAGUGGUGAAAUCUCUGGGCUUAACUCAGAAACUGCCAUUGAUACUAUCAGUCUUGAAUACCGUGGAGGCCAGCGGAAUAUGUCAUGUAGCGGUGAAAUGCUUAGAUAUGACAUAGAACACCAAUUGCGAAGGCAGCUGGCUACACGAAUAUUGACACUGAGGCACGAAAGCGUGGGGAUCAAACAGG
This 253-nucleotide ribosomal RNA is filed under the name uncultured bacterium. RNAcentral describes it as "partial 16S ribosomal RNA". It matches the Rfam family "Bacterial small subunit ribosomal RNA", at positions 524 to 776 of the family's 1533-position model. The record is from RNAcentral.